UAAAAGGCUUUAUUAAAAGCUAUCUUUUGGAAAUAGUCAAUCCUUGU
Otolemur garnettii (small-eared galago) is the source of this 47-nucleotide non-coding RNA. NCBI's taxonomy places the organism in Eukaryota, Metazoa, Chordata, Mammalia, Primates, Galagidae. The record is from Rfam.